CCUACGGGAGGCAGCAGUAGGGAAUCUUUCACAAUGGGAGAAAGCCUGAUGGAGCAACGCCGCGUGCAGGAUGAAGGCCUUCGGGUUGUAAACUGCUUUUAUAAGCGAGAAAUAUGAGGGGAACUUAUGAAUAAGGAUCGGCUAACUACGUGCCAGCAGCCGAGGUCAUACGUAGGAUACGAGCAUUAUCCGGAGUGCCUGGGUGUUAAGAGUUUGGUAGGUGGCAUAAUAAGUAGCUGGUGAAAUCUGGUGGCUCAACCAUUCAGACUAUUAGCUAAACUGUUAAGCUCGAGACCGUUAGGGGUAACUGGAAUGUCUAGUGUAGGGGUGAAAUGCGUAGAUAUUAGGAAGAACACCGAUUGCGUAGGCAGGGUACUGGGACGGUUCUGACACUAAGGCACGAAAGCGUAGGGAGCAAACGGGAUUAGAUACCCCAGUAGUC
Molecule: ribosomal RNA, 442 nt
Filed under: uncultured bacterium
Lineage: Bacteria
Description: partial 16S ribosomal RNA
Rfam family: Bacterial small subunit ribosomal RNA
Source: RNAcentral